AUUGAGCAUAUCAAUAAGCGGAGGAAAAGAAACCAACAGGGAUGCCCCAGUUAACGGCGAAGUGAAGCGGCAACAGCUCAAAUUUGAAAUCUGGCCCCAGGCCCGAAGUUGUAAUUUGCAGAAGGAUGCUUUUGGCGCGGUGCCUUCCGAGUUCCCUGGAACGGGACGCCAUAGAGGGUGAGAGCCCCGUACGGUUGGACACCAAGCCUUUGUAAAGCUCCUUCGACGAGUCGAGUAGUUUGGGAAUGCUGCUCUAAAUGGGAGGUACAUUUCUUCUAAAGCUAAAUAUUGGCCAGAGACCGAUAGCGCACAAGUAGAGUGAUCGAAAGAUGAAAAGCACUUUGAAAAGAGGGUUAAACAGCACGUGAAAUUGUUAAAAGGGAAGCGCUUGUGACCAGACUUGCGUCCGGUGAAUCACCCAGCUCUCGCGGCUGGGGCACUUCGCCGGCACAGGCCAGCAUCAGCUUGCCGUCGGGGACAAAAGCUUCAGGAACGUGGCUCCUCUCGGGGAGUGUUAUAGCCUGUUGCAUAAUACCCUUCGGCGGGCUGAGGUACGCGCUCCGCAAGGAUGCUGGCGUAAUGGUCAUCAGCGACCCGUCUUGAAACACGGACCAAGGAGUCAACCUUUAUGUGCGAGUGUUUGGGUGUUAAACCCCUACGCGUAAUGAAAGUGAACGCAGGUGAGAGCUUCGGCGCAUCAUCGACCGAUCCUGAUGUUCUCGGAUGGAUUUGAGUAAGAGCAUAUAGGGUUGGACCCGAAAAGAAGGUGAACUAUGCGUGUGUAGGGUGAAGCCAGAGGAAACUCUAGGUGGAGGCUCGCAGCGGUUCCUGACGUGCCAAAUCGAUCGUCAAACAUGCGCAUGGGGGCGAAAGACUAAUCGAACCUUCUAGUAGCUGGUUUUCCGCCGAAG
RNAcentral lists this ribosomal RNA (911 nucleotides) under Colletotrichum costaricense. RNAcentral's name for it is "LSU rRNA". It matches the Rfam family "Eukaryotic large subunit ribosomal RNA", at positions 33 to 966 of the family's 3401-position model. Lineage: Eukaryota; Fungi; Ascomycota; Sordariomycetes; Glomerellales; Glomerellaceae. The record is from RNAcentral.